AUUGAACGCUGGCGGCAGGCCUAACACAUGCAAGUCGAGCGGAUGAAGGGAGCUUUCUCCUGGAUUCAGCGGCGGACGGGUGAGUAAUGCCUAGGAAUCUGCCUGGUAGUGGGGGAUAACGUCCGGUAACGGGCGCUAAUACCGCAUCCGUCCUGUGGUUGACAGUGGGGGUUCUUCGGACCUCACGCUAUCAGAUGAGCCUAGGUCGGAUUAGCUAGUUGGUGGGGUAAAGGCCUACCAAGGCGACGAUCCGUAACUGGUAUGAGAGGAUGAUCAGUCACACGGGAACUGAGACACGGUCCAGACUCCUACGGGAGGCAGCAGUGGGGAAUAUUGGACAAUGGGCGAAAGCCUGAUGCAGCCAUGCCGCGUGUGUGAAGAAGGUCUUCGGAUUGUAAAGCACUUUAAGUUGGGAGGAAGGGAAGUAAGUUAAAACCUUGAUGUAUUGACGUUACCAACAGAAAAAGCAACGGCUAACUACGUG
RNAcentral lists this ribosomal RNA (484 nucleotides) under uncultured bacterium. RNAcentral describes it as "partial 16S ribosomal RNA". It matches the Rfam family "Bacterial small subunit ribosomal RNA", at positions 30 to 507 of the family's 1533-position model. The record is from RNAcentral.